RNAcentral lists this ribosomal RNA (701 nucleotides) under Chromadorida sp. 5I9K2. RNAcentral describes it as "eukaryotic LSU rRNA". It matches the Rfam family "Eukaryotic large subunit ribosomal RNA", at positions 355 to 877 of the family's 3401-position model. Lineage: Eukaryota; Metazoa; Nematoda; Chromadorea; Chromadorida. The record is from RNAcentral.
GAGGGAAAGUUGCAAAGAACUUUGAAGAGAGAGUUCAAGAGGGCGUGAAACCGGUUGGAAGUAAAGAGUUAGACCAGACGUUAGUCCUCGGGAUUCAGCCUGUUCGUGUGAGUCUCCCUGUUGCUGUGCUCUGUCUCUGACACAGCGGUGGGUACUGAGACCUGCAUGUCGGGUGCACUUCCCGAGGAUGCGCGCCAAAGGCGGUGAGACUGCUGUGUUGCCUGGGUAUUGUUGCCCCACCUCUUCGGAGUCGGGUGUCUCGUGCCUGGUGUCAGUACGGUCGGUCUUACCGUUAGACUACAGAAUGCCCGCUCUAGCUCACUACUCGGGGCACGGCGGCGGCAGAGUGAGGACCCCUGUCUCAGGACCUUGUUCGCUCAGCUGUCGUGUUCUCUCGGGGAUGUGAGUGGCAAUUCGGCUUUGGUGUUUUGUCUGUAACCUAACUCACCCGUCUUGAAACACGGACCAAGGAGUCUAACAUGUGCGCGAGUCAUUGGGUUGCUAAACCUAAAGGCGCAAUGAACGUGAAGGUAGGCUUGCCCUGCUGAUAUGAGAUCCUGGGCGUCCAGCCCGGGCGCAUCAUAGUCCCUUCUCAUAUGCAUUGUCAGAGAGGAGGAGAUAGAGCGUACAUGCUGGGACCCGAAAGAUGGUGAACUAUGCCUGAGCAGGAUGAAGCCAGAGGAAACUCUGGUGGAGGUCCA